Molecule: long non-coding RNA, 3718 nt
Filed under: Arabidopsis thaliana (thale cress)
Lineage: Eukaryota; Viridiplantae; Streptophyta; Magnoliopsida; Brassicales; Brassicaceae
Description: long non-coding RNA (ATHA_LNC000326)
Source: RNAcentral
GCUGGGGAAAUAUCUUGGGACAAUGUUCAAGGUAAAACGGCACAAUUUCUUUAGCCGCGAAACGAGGUCUACCGUUCUCGUCCGGUGCAGUCAACAUCGCCGUCACAAGACCACCGGUGCUAGUUCCGGCUAUCACGUCGAAAUAAUCAGCUACCCUCACGUGUUCUCCAUCUAGUUCCUUUAUAUACCGACAAAAUUUUAUUUUUUCGAAGAGUAAAUACAAAAUUUUGAUGAAUCAUAGUUACCAUAUGGUAAGAACCUAAUAUGAAUUAGUGAUCAUAAAUCGAUGCAGGGACUUAACUACUACAAAAUUCGCAUGGCGAGUUAUGAUCCUAUCAUAUGUAUCUACUAUCUUAGUAACUUGCAUUCUACUGAAAUUUAUAUAGAUAUAAACCUGAAGUUGUUUUUCGAGAUAGGCAAGGAUUACUCCGGCGAUGAUUCCUCUGACUCCACCACCAUCGAGGCUGAGGAUGGUUACGAGUGUUCCGCACGAUGGCGGCAUGUUUUUCUUGGAGGGCGAUUCGUUCUCCAUUAUAGUUGAUCAAUCUUCUUUUGAACUACAAGAUUUUGAAUCGAAAUUUGGUAGAAGUUUUGGAUGUAGAGGUCAAUAUAUAUAUACAAAUGCACAAUUUCAUUUGCAUAGAUUUAACACUAUUUGGUCAGACUUUUCUUCAUACAAGCUGAUAUAUGUUUUAUGUGGAAUAUGAUAAUUUAAAGCAAGUAAUAUUACCCUAUCAUUAAUUAGGGUCAUCGAGCUUGGGCUGUCACAAAUUAAUUUACGAGAAAUAGUUGCAAUAGAUAAAUUUGAAUUAAGAAACAAAUAUUUUCUUUCGUGGACUUUGCAAUUAAUCAAAAAUAAACAGCCAGAAACUGACUUUGUUUUUUUUUUGGAUUUUCUGCGACUCGUUUCCCUUCUGAAUCCACUAUUCAGACUUGUUCUAAAGACAUCUAUCAAUUGGAAACUACAACUAAUGCCACGAAUCAUAACUAAUAAUGAGUUAUUUGGUUUGCUUGGAGAUCAGUUAUCUAUUUACAUUAGAAAACCUAAUUGGUAGGAAUCACUUAAUCUAGUGUCUUAAAUAGUAAAACCCGUAAUACGUGAUUAAGUUUCAUCAGCGAAAUUUGAAGUUUUUCGAAAAAGUCAAAAUAUAUGUAAAAACUGUGUUUUUGUUUUGGGUCAUUAUUUCAAAAAAAUUAGGUUAGCGGAAAAAAUCCAAAACCAACAAGCAUUUAAAUAUGAAUUGACGUUAGCAUUAGUAUUUAAAUUAUGUUUUGACAAAAAAAAUAAACUUCACGUGUAGUAGUAUAUACUAAAAGAUAAAACUAUUUGGUCAGACUUUUCUUCAUACAUAUUUCGUGCUAAUCAUGAUUGUAGAAUUUGUAUAUUUCCAUGUGGAAUUAUUUUAAUGUAGGUUUAGCUUGAGCUGUCAUGAGCUAAAUUUACGAAGAAAAUAUAUUGUAAUAGAGUUUGAAUCUAGGACCUAUAUCUCCCUCCAUGUCGAGAGACUUGUUCUGAGUACACUUGUCAUAGAAUAAAAUGAUCUCAGGAUUAGCUUCUGGCCUUCUGCUGUUUCAUCUUAUUACUUGUAGAACUAAAUUUAGAUAACCAAUUUUAUUUAAAAAAUUUCAUCUCACAGCAUAUAAAGUAAUGGACGUCACCACGUAAAACAUAUGCAACAAACAAUUUCACACAAAAGCACGAAUGAUUUCCUUUUAUUUUAUCUCUUGUGAUUCAUUUGAUGAAUCUUUAAUCAUUGUGUCGCUUCUUAGUCUCCUUAAUUUCCUUUCGUCCGAGAGAAUUUUUGCAUACCUAUAUCAAAGAUCGAGAUUACUAAUCUUUUGUAAUGUCCUAGGCCCAGCCCAAUUUUGUUUGGGAGGCCCAUUAUUAAUUUAUUUUAUUUUAAUAAAUAAAAAAUAUCGAGAUUACUUGUAAUCCAAGAAGAAAAACAUUCAUAAUUGCUUAAUCACCUCUUUAGCUGUUCAUCAUUGGUAAUAUUUUCAGCAACAGGUUCAUAUACACCAGUGUCGAUGUUCAUUUGCAUGACUCUGUUUGUCAGCAUCUUCUCUCCAAUCUUUUGAAGAUUCUCCAAGUUAGACUUUGUCGCUAGAUCCAUAGUGCUUACAUCUCCUUCCAAUGUAUCAUCCUGCAAUUGUAAAUUAAACGAUCAAUCAGAAAUAAGGACAUACAUAUAUGUUAAUAUGUAGCUCUUACAUCGAUUCGGAGGUACUUGUCUUCAGAUUGUAGGGCUUUAAACACAACAGAGCUGUGAUAAUGGAUCAUGUCGCGGCUUGAUUCCAUGGUAAUGUCUAAUAUCGGAGUAGAUCCAUCGUCAUAUAACCAAGAUAUGAUCCCCCAUUUUGCAGCCUUUUUUGCGCUGUACUUCUCUUCCCUUUUUGUUGAUCCUGUUCCUAUCGAUAUAACGAGAAACCGGUCGAAACCUAACGGCUUGAGCUUACCCAUAUCAGGAUUAUUCUUCACAAUCUGCUUAGACACAGCUGUCAUGGCCACCAAAGUCUAUAACAGGAUUACAGGACCAAACACAACGGAGUUAGUUCUGUUUUGAUUUUCGAAAAUCUAAAGGUUUUAUCAAUUUCUUUGUAUUCUCUUUGUUUUUGAUAGUACCGGGUUAUUAGCAGUAACCGCGCCAUCAACGAGAUUAAACUCCGUCUUAUUGCCUUGACUGUCUUCGUUGGAAAAGUAAUGGGGAGGAAAGAAAGUGGGAGCAGCUGAAGUGCCGAUGCAUAUGUCUGAUACCUUGACAUCCAAGCUAGGGUCAACCAACAGCUUCAAAAACAGAAAGUGAACUAAUUAAGUUUGUUAAUUAGGAGCUUUAGAUUUUAGUCUAUACAUGUGUGUAGUGUUAAGAAGAGAGACCUGGUAAGAGGAGAAAAUAGUGGGUUGAAGUUUCUUGAUAUCGAAGGUAGGUAUAACAAUGUUUGUGAGGGUCUGGUGAAGUCUUGUCUCUCCAAGAAGCUUACUCAGAAGAUUUCGCAGAUACUUUCCGCUGUACUUUGGACCAGACAGAAGCUUUGGAAGCUUCGGUAACAGAGCAAGCACGCCUCUGCAUUUUUCAUUAGAAUGUUUUUUCAAUUGUUACGUUGGAAUUUGUUUAAUUUAUAUGCCAAUUGUUCAUUAGGAAAAAACAAACAAUUAUAUGAGACACCAAAAUACUGGUUGAUUUAUUCCUUAAAAAAAUUUAAAUAACGUUUACUAUUUUCGAAAUUGUGAACAUAAAGUUUUUCUAUUCUAAACAGAAAUACAAGUGUCUAAUUAUUAUUGUUUUUGUAAUUAGUGUGUAUAUAGAGAAAUAGAAUUUCUUUACGUGGGCUGGGGAAAUAUCUUGGGACAAUGUUCAAGGUAAAACGGCACAAUGUCUUUAGCCGCGAAAUGAGGUCGACCGGUCUCGUCCGGUACAGUCAACAUCGCCGUCACAAGACCACCGGUGCUAGUUCCAGCUAUCACGUCGAAGUAAUCCGCAAGCCUCGCCUCUUCUCCAUCGAGUUCCUAUGUAUACCGAGAAAGUUUAAUUUUUCAAGAAAAUAACUACAAGAAGAAAGAUGUUGUUUAAUUACUCUAUAGUAAAGAUCAAAUAUGAAUUCGUGAUCAUAAAUCGAUGCAGGGACUUAAUAACUACUAAGUAUAAAAUUCGCAUGGCGAGUUAUAUAUGAUAUAUCCCUUCUUAUCUACUAUCUAGUAAUUUGCAUUCUACUAUUAAAC